This 464-nucleotide ribosomal RNA is filed under the name Salmonella enterica. RNAcentral describes it as "partial 23S ribosomal RNA". It matches the Rfam family "Bacterial large subunit ribosomal RNA", at positions 1214 to 1677 of the family's 2925-position model. Lineage: Bacteria; Pseudomonadati; Pseudomonadota; Gammaproteobacteria; Enterobacterales; Enterobacteriaceae. The record is from RNAcentral.
CUGUGUGUUGUUGGGUAGGGGAGCGUUCUGUAAGCCUGUGAAGGUGUGUCGUGAGGCAUGCUGGAGGUAUCAGAAGUGCGAAUGCUGACAUAAGUAACGAUAAAGCGGGUGAAAAGCCCGCUCGCCGGAAGACCAAGGGUUCCUGUCCAACGUUAAUCGGGGCAGGGUGAGUCGACCCCUAAGGCGAGGCCGAAAGGCGUAGUCGAUGGGAAACGGGUUAAUAUUCCCGUACUUGGUGUUACUGCGAAGGGGGGACGGAGAAGGCUAUGUUGGCCGGGCGACGGUUGUCCCGGUUUAAGCGUGUAGGUGUGUGUUCCAGGUAAAUCCGGUUCACUUUAACACUGAGGCGUGACGACGAGGCACUACGGUGCUGAAGCAACAAAUGCCCUGCUUCCAGGAAAAGCCUCUAAGCAUCAGGUAACAUCAAAUCGUACCCCAAACCGACACAGGUGGUCAGGUAGAGA